This 535-nucleotide long non-coding RNA is filed under the name Homo sapiens (human). Its description in RNAcentral is "non-protein coding lnc-SAT2-2:8". The record is from RNAcentral. Lineage: Eukaryota; Metazoa; Chordata; Mammalia; Primates; Hominidae.
GGGAACCUGCUCGGGGAGCAGCGGGGCCCUUCUGCUCUAAUCUAGCUUCCGUACCCACGCCUUAGGAGCUAGCCGAAUUCGAAAAACUCUCGGAUCAGGUGAAGAUCAGUGAAGAAGGUCAAGGGAUUGGUUCCAAAAUAAUCAAAAAGGUGGCUGAGGUGGCCUUGGAUAAGGGCUGCUCCCAAUUCCGCCUGGCCGUCCUGGACUGGAACCAGAGGGCCAUGGACUUGUACAAGGCCCUAGGAGCCCAAGAUCUGACGGAAGCUGAGGGCUGGCACUUCUUCUGCUUUCAAGGAGAGGCAACGAGAAAGUUGGCAGGAAAGUGACGCCAUCCCUAGGAGGAUCUCUGUCUUGAGUUUCUCCUUCCCCAUCAGCUGAAGCACUCUUCAGAGACUACGUCCACAGACACUGAUGCUGAGGCCUCCCUGGAGGAAGGAGGGUUAGGGGUGCCUAUCCUCAAGUAUUGGAAGAGCAGAAUUGAGGGAGAGACCUUUCUUCCUUGUUGAGGGUGAAAAAUAAAUAAGAAUUACAUGUC